Long non-coding RNA from Salvia miltiorrhiza (redroot sage), 532 nucleotides. RefSeq lists it as uncharacterized. The record is from RefSeq and is a predicted model, not a curated record. The transcript has 2 exons. Lineage: Eukaryota; Viridiplantae; Streptophyta; Magnoliopsida; Lamiales; Lamiaceae.
GUGAAAUAGGUUACGGCCCAAUACAUAAGAAAUGGUAUCCGGGUCCUCAAAUUCGGAUCCUUGAAAUUAGGGUUUUAAGUUUCACCAUCGCCACCAUCACCCCCUUAUAAAUUCGUAAUUCCACGCUAUUUUGCUCUAUAGCUGCCGCGAUACGGAUAGAUUUCUUCAACAGUCCAGCAAGUAAGAGAGAGGGAAACAACUAAAUCUGUGAGCAGACAUGAGGGCCAAGUGGAAGAAGAAGAGAAUGAGGAGGUUGAAGAGGAAGCGCAGAAAGAUGAGACAGAGAUCUAAGUAGAGAAUGAGGGAAAUGCUUUGCAAUGAGAUUUUGUGGAAGCAAUUUGUGUACAAUGGCUUCCUUGACUCAUUUCUCAUCUUAUAAAACUCUUACCCUCUUAAUUAGUGUUAUUUAAAAACAUGAGACUUGUUUUGUCUAUGCUUAAUGUUUAUUUGUUUUGGACUAUCGCUUGCUUAUCUCAACUUUAUAUGAAUGAUACAAGUCCUUCAAUUUGGUAUUAAUAUUUCAGAUUAUUCA